This 477-nucleotide ribosomal RNA is filed under the name uncultured organism. Its description in RNAcentral is "partial 16S ribosomal RNA". It matches the Rfam family "Bacterial small subunit ribosomal RNA", at positions 330 to 798 of the family's 1533-position model. The record is from RNAcentral.
CGUACACUCCUACGGGAGGCAGCAGUGGGGAAUAUUGCACAAUGGGCGCAAGCCUGAUGCAGCCAUGCCGCGUGUAUGAAGAAGGCCUUCGGGUUGUAAAGUACUUUCAGCGGGGAGGAAGGCGAUAAGGUUAAUAACCUUGUCGAUUGACGUUACCCGCAGAAGAAGCACCGGCUAACUCCGUGCCAGCAGCCGCGGUAAUACGGAGGGUGCAAGCGUUAAUCGGAAUUACUGGGCGUAAAGCGCACGCAGGCGGUCUGUCAAGUCGGAUGUGAAAUCCCCAGGCUCAACCUGGGAACUGCAUUCGAAACUGGCAGGCUAGAGUCUUGUAGAGGGGGGUAGAAUUCCAGGUGUAGCGGUGAAAUGCGUAGAGAUCUGGAGGAAUACCGGUGGCGAAGGCGGCCCCCUGGACAAAGACUGACGCUCAGGUGCGAAAGCGUGGGGAGCAAACAGGAUUAGAAACCCGUGUAGUCCCAU